Molecule: ribosomal RNA, 253 nt
Filed under: uncultured bacterium
Lineage: Bacteria
Description: partial 16S ribosomal RNA
Rfam family: Bacterial small subunit ribosomal RNA
Source: RNAcentral
UACAGAGGUCUCAAGCGUUGUUCGGAAUUACUGGGCGUAAAGGGUGCGUAGGCGGCGCGGUAAGUCGGGUGUGAAAUCUCGGAGCUUAACCCCGAAACUGCAUUCGAUACUGCCGUGCUUGAGGACUGGAGAGGAGACUGGAAUUUACGGUGUAGCGGUGAAAUGCGUAGAUAUCGUAAGGAAGACCAGUGGCGAAGGCGGGUCUCUGGACAGUUCCUGACGCUGAGGCACGAAGGUCAGGGGAGCAAACGGG